CCUACGGGAGGCAGCAGUGAGGGAUAUUGGACAAUGGGGGGAACCCUGAUCCAGCGACGCCGCGUGAGUGAAGAAGUAUUUCGGUAUGUAAAGCUCUGUCAGCAGGGAAGAAAGCAAUGACGGUACCUGACCAAGAAGCCCCGGCUAACUACGUGCCAGCAGCCGCGGUAAUACGUAUGGGGCAAGCGUUAUCCGGAUUUACUGGGUGUAAAGGGAGCGUAGGCGGUACGGCAAGUCAGAAGUGAAAGCCUGGGGCUCAACCCCGGAAUUGCUUUUGAAACUGUCGAACUAGAGUGUCGGAGGGG
RNAcentral lists this ribosomal RNA (305 nucleotides) under uncultured bacterium. RNAcentral describes it as "bacterial SSU rRNA". It matches the Rfam family "Bacterial small subunit ribosomal RNA", at positions 338 to 657 of the family's 1533-position model. The record is from RNAcentral.